UACGUAGGGUGCAAGCGUUAAUCGGAAUUACUGGGCGUAAAGCGUGCGCAGGCGGUUGUGUAAGACAGAUGUGAAAUCCCCGGGCUCAACCUGGGAACUGCAUUUGUGACUGCACAGCUGGAGUGCGGCAGAGGGGGAUGGAAUUCCGCGUGCAGCAGUGAAAUGCGUAGAUAUGCGGAGGAACACCGAUGGCGAAGGCAAUCCCCUGGGCCUGCACUGACGCUCAUGCACGAAAGCGUGGGGAGCAAACAGG
This 253-nucleotide ribosomal RNA is filed under the name uncultured bacterium. Its description in RNAcentral is "partial 16S ribosomal RNA". It matches the Rfam family "Bacterial small subunit ribosomal RNA", at positions 524 to 776 of the family's 1533-position model. The record is from RNAcentral.